This 496-nucleotide ribosomal RNA is filed under the name uncultured bacterium. RNAcentral describes it as "partial 16S ribosomal RNA". It matches the Rfam family "Bacterial small subunit ribosomal RNA", at positions 28 to 506 of the family's 1533-position model. The record is from RNAcentral.
GACGAACGCUGGCGGCGUGCCUAAUACAUGCAAGUUGAGCGCUGAAGGUUGGUACUUGUACCGACUGGAUGAGCAGCGAACGGGUGAGUAACGCGUGGGGAAUCUGCCUUUGAGCGGGGGACAACAUUUGGAAACGAAUGCUAAUACCGCAUAAAAACUUUAAACACAAGUUUUAAGUUUGAAAGAUGCAAUUGCAUCACUAAAAGAUGAUCCCGCGUUGUAUUAGCUAGUUGGUGAGGUAAAGGCUCACCAAGGCGAUGAUACAUAGCCGACCUGAGAGGGUGAUCGGCCACAUUGGAACUGAGACACGGCCCAAACUCCUACGGGAGGCAGCAGUAGGGAAUCUUCGGCAAUGGACGAAAGUCUGACCGAGCAACGCCGCGUGAGUGAAGAAGGUUUUCGGAUCGUAAAACUCUGUUGGUAGAGAAGAACGUUGGUGAGAGUGGAAAGCUCAUCAAGGGACGGAAACUACCCAGAAAGGGACGGCAAACUACGG